Molecule: microRNA precursor, 58 nt
Filed under: Oryctolagus cuniculus (rabbit)
Lineage: Eukaryota; Metazoa; Chordata; Mammalia; Lagomorpha; Leporidae
Source: RNAcentral
CACUCCAAAGGGCGCCAUUCAGGUACACCAAAUUAUGAUUGGCACUUUUUUGAGUGUG